GAUGGUCGCAUGAUGAUUUAUAAGCAUAGUUCAGAUGAUAAUCACUGUGAUUAAUCACAAUUUUUUUAGUCUUUCGCUCCUAUCUGACGACCAAC
Molecule: small nucleolar RNA, 95 nt
Organism: Ziziphus jujuba (common jujube)
Lineage: Eukaryota; Viridiplantae; Streptophyta; Magnoliopsida; Rosales; Rhamnaceae
Product: small nucleolar RNA snR60/Z15/Z230/Z193/J17
Exons: 1
Source: RefSeq, a predicted model, not a curated record